UGAGUAACACGUAUCCAACCUGCCGUCUACUCUUGGACAGCCUUCUGAAAGGAAGAUUAAUCCAGGAUGGCAUCAUGAGUCCACAUGUUCACAUGAUUAAAGGUAUUCCGGUAGACGAUGGGGAUGCGUUCCAUUAGAUAGUAGGCGGGGUAACGGCCCACCUAGUCUUCGAUGGAUAGGGGUUCUGAGAGGAAGGUCCCCCACAUUGGAACUGAGACACGGUCCAA
This 227-nucleotide ribosomal RNA is filed under the name uncultured bacterium. RNAcentral describes it as "partial 16S ribosomal RNA". It matches the Rfam family "Bacterial small subunit ribosomal RNA", at positions 107 to 334 of the family's 1533-position model. The record is from RNAcentral.